GCCCAAAUGGUGGAAUUGGUAGACACGCUAGUUUCAGGGACUAGUGGCUGUAAGGCUGUGCAGGUUCGAGUCCUGUUUUGGGUA
RNAcentral lists this transfer RNA (84 nucleotides) under Prevotellaceae bacterium. Its description in RNAcentral is "tRNA-Leu". It matches the Rfam family "tRNA". Rfam says of the family: Transfer RNA (tRNA) molecules are approximately 80 nucleotides in length. Their secondary structure includes four short double-helical elements and three loops (D, anti-codon, and T loops). The record is from RNAcentral. Lineage: Bacteria; Pseudomonadati; Bacteroidota; Bacteroidia; Bacteroidales; Prevotellaceae.